GGGGCUAUAGCUCAGCUGGGAGAGCGCCUGCUUUGCACGCAGGAGGUCGUCGGUUCGAUCCCGUCUAGCUCCACCA
Molecule: transfer RNA, 76 nt
Filed under: Alphaproteobacteria bacterium
Lineage: Bacteria; Pseudomonadati; Pseudomonadota; Alphaproteobacteria
Also listed under: 3 other names
Description: tRNA-Ala
Rfam family: tRNA
About the family: Transfer RNA (tRNA) molecules are approximately 80 nucleotides in length. Their secondary structure includes four short double-helical elements and three loops (D, anti-codon, and T loops).
Source: RNAcentral